AUUGAACGCUGGCGGCAUGCUUUACACAUGCAAGUCGAACGGCAGCGCGGGCUUCGGCCUGGCGGCGAGUGGCGAACGGGUGAGUAAUGCAUUGGAACGUGCCCAGUAGUUGGGGAUAGCCCGGCGAAAGCCGGAUUAAUACCGCAUACGACCUUACGGUGAAAGCGGGGGACCGAAAGGCCUCGCGCUAUUGGAGCGGCCGAUGUCGGAUUAGCUAGUUGGUGGGGUAAAGGCUUACCAAGGCGACGAUCCGUAGCUGGUCUGAGAGGACGACCAGCCACACUGGGACUGAGACACGGCCCAGACUCCUACGGGAGGCAGCAGUGGGGAAUUUUGGACAAUGGGGGCAACCCUGAUCCAGCCAUGCCGCGUGCGGGAAGAAGGCCUUCGGGUUGUAAACCGCUUUUGUUCGGGAAGAAAUCCUCUGGGCUAAUACCCCGGGGGGAUGACGGUACCGGAAGAAUAAGCACCGGCUAACUACGUG
RNAcentral lists this ribosomal RNA (484 nucleotides) under uncultured bacterium. RNAcentral's name for it is "partial 16S ribosomal RNA". It matches the Rfam family "Bacterial small subunit ribosomal RNA", at positions 28 to 507 of the family's 1533-position model. The record is from RNAcentral.